RNAcentral lists this ribosomal RNA (253 nucleotides) under uncultured bacterium. RNAcentral describes it as "partial 16S ribosomal RNA". It matches the Rfam family "Bacterial small subunit ribosomal RNA", at positions 524 to 776 of the family's 1533-position model. The record is from RNAcentral.
UACGAAGGGGGCUAGCGUUGCUCGGAAUCACUGGGCGUAAAGGGUGCGUAGGCGGGUUUUUAAGUCAGAGGUGAAAUCCUGGAGCUCAACUCCAGAACUGCCUUUGAUACUGAAAGUCUUGAGUACGGGAGAGGUGAGUGGAACUGCGAGUGUAGAGGUGAAAUUCGUAGAUAUUCGGAGGAACACCAGUGGCGAAGGCGGCUCACUGGUCCGGUACUGACGCUGAGGUGCGAAAGCGUGGGGAGCAAACAGG